GACGAACGCUGGCGGCGUGCCUAAUACAUGCAAGUUGAGCGCUGAAGGUUGGUACUUGUACCAACUGGAUGAGCAGCGAACGGGUGAGUAACGCGUGGGGAAUCUGCCUUUGAGCGGGGGACAACAUUUGGAAACGAAUGCUAAUACCGCAUAAAAACUUUAAACACAAGUUUUAAGUUUGAAAGAUGCAAUUGCAUCACUCAAAGAUGAUCCCGCGUUGUAUUAGCUAGUUGGUGAGGUAAAGGCUCACCAAGGCGAUGAUACAUAGCCGACCUGAGAGGGGGAGCGGCACCAUUGGGACUGAGACAGGACCCAAACUCCGACGGGAGGCAGCAGGGGGGAAUCUUCGGGAAUGGACGAAAGUCUGACCGAGCAACGCGGGGUGAGGGAAGAAGGUUUUCGGAUCGAAAAACUCUGUUGGUAGAAAAGAACGUUGGUGAGAGGGGAAAGCUCAUCAAGUGACGGUAACUACCCAGAAAGGGACGGCUAACUACG
Molecule: ribosomal RNA, 495 nt
Filed under: uncultured bacterium
Lineage: Bacteria
Description: partial 16S ribosomal RNA
Rfam family: Bacterial small subunit ribosomal RNA
Source: RNAcentral